GACGAACGCUGGCGGCGUGCUUAACACAUGCCAGUCGAACGGAAAGGCCCUGCUUUUGUGGGGUGCUCGAGUGGCGAACGGGUGAGUAACACGUGAGUAACCUGCCCUUGACUUUGGGAUAACUUCAGGAAACUGGGGCUAAUACCGGAUAGGAGCUCCUGCUGCAUGGUGGGGGUUGGAAAGUUUCGGCGGUUGGGGAUGGACUCGCGGCUUAUCAGCUUGUUGGUGGGGUAGUGGCUUACCAAGGCUUUGACGGGUAGCCGGCCUGAGAGGGUGACCGGCCACAAUGGGACUGAGAGACGGACCAGACUCCUACGGGAGGCAGCAGUGGGGAAUAUUGCACAAUGGGCGGAAGCCUGAUGCAGCAACGCCGCGUGCGGGAUGACGGCCUUCGGGUUGUAAACCGCUUUCGCCUGUGACGAAGCGUGAGUGACGGUAAUGGGUAAAGAAGCACCGGCUAACUACGUG
RNAcentral lists this ribosomal RNA (468 nucleotides) under uncultured bacterium. RNAcentral's name for it is "partial 16S ribosomal RNA". It matches the Rfam family "Bacterial small subunit ribosomal RNA", at positions 28 to 507 of the family's 1533-position model. The record is from RNAcentral.